RNAcentral lists this non-coding RNA (26 nucleotides) under Rattus norvegicus (Norway rat). Lineage: Eukaryota; Metazoa; Chordata; Mammalia; Rodentia; Muridae. The record is from RNAcentral.
UGCCUCAAAUGGAGUGUCGCAGCCUG